GAUGAACGCUAGCGACAGGCCUAACACAUGCAAGUCGAGGGGCAGCGGGGAUGAAGCUUGCUUCAUCUGCCGGCGACCGGCGCACGGGUGAGUAACACGUAUGCAACCUGCCCGCCACAGGGGGAUAAACGCUGGAAACGGCGCCUAAUACCCCAUACUAUCGCUAUGCUGCAUGGCAUGGCGAUGAAAACUCCGGUGGUGGCGGAUGGGCAUGCGGCGCAUUAGCUAGUUGGAGGGGUAACGGCCCACCAAGGCGACGAUGCGUAGGGGUUCUGAGAGGAAGGUCCCCCACACUGGUACUGAGACACGGACCAGACUCCUACGGGAGGCAGCAGUGAGGAAUAUUGGUCAAUGGGCGGGAGCCUGAACCAGCCAAGUCGCGUGAGGGAAGACGGCCCUACGGGUUGUAAACCUCUUUAGUCGGGGAGCAAAAAGGCCACGCGUGGUCCAUUGAGCGUACCCGAAGAAUAAGCAUCGGCUAACUCCGUGCCAGCAG
Molecule: ribosomal RNA, 496 nt
Filed under: uncultured bacterium
Lineage: Bacteria
Description: bacterial SSU rRNA
Rfam family: Bacterial small subunit ribosomal RNA
Source: RNAcentral